AAUGGAUAUCUCGGAUGACUUCGUGGACAUUUAUGAAGACGAUCAGCCUGCAAAGAAACUGGGUUUUGAUGCAAUGACACCGAAGAAGAAUCAAAUAUGCAGCCCAAUGAAAGAUUCUCCGAAGACGGACAGUGGAAGUGUAGAGAUCAUUUCAUAUGGACAUUAUUUUAGUCCAUUCAAAUCUGAAAUGCAUAGGGAGGUUAUUGAACAGUUUCAGAACAUAGAAAAACAAGCUAAAAGAAAGCAUGCGCUCCUAACUUGGAAAUGGGAUGAGGUCAUUGAUAUUACCCAAA
This is a long non-coding RNA of Helianthus annuus (common sunflower), 293 nucleotides long. RefSeq lists it as uncharacterized. The transcript has 4 exons. The record is from RefSeq and is a predicted model, not a curated record. NCBI's taxonomy places the organism in Eukaryota, Viridiplantae, Streptophyta, Magnoliopsida, Asterales, Asteraceae.